RNAcentral lists this ribosomal RNA (275 nucleotides) under Rhipicephalus turanicus. RNAcentral describes it as "partial 16S ribosomal RNA". Lineage: Eukaryota; Metazoa; Arthropoda; Arachnida; Ixodida; Ixodidae. The record is from RNAcentral.
GGUAUUUUGACUAUACAAAGGUAUUGAAAUAAGAUUUUAAUUGAAUGCUAAGAGAAUGGAAACCCAGAAAAAAACUUUUUUUAAAUUAAAAAUUGAAAUUUUUUUAAUUUGUGCAGAAACAAUUAUUAAUAUUAAGGACAAGAAGACCCUAUGAAUUUAUAAAAUUCUAUUUAAUAUGUUAUUGCUGUUGAAGAAUUUUUGGCUGGGGCGGCUAAAAAAUAUUUUAAACUUUUUAAAAGUAAAAUGAUCCAUUAUUAAUGAUUACAUGUGAAAUA